GAUGAACGCUAGCUACAGGCUUAACACAUGCAAGUCGAGGGGCAGCAUGACGAUAGCUUGCUAUUGUCGAUGGCGACCGGCGCACGGGUGAGUAACGCGUAUCCAACCUUCCCGUUGCUAGGGGAUAACCUUGCGAAAGUAAGACUAAUACCCUAUGAAGUUCUUCGCAGGCAUCUAAAGAGAACGAAAGAUUUAUCGGCAACGGAUGGGGAUGCGUCUGAUUAGGUUGUUGGCGGGGUAACGGCCCACCAAGCCCACGAUCAGUAGGGGUUCUGAGAGGAAGGUCCCCCCACAUUGGAACUGAGACACGGUCCAAACUCCUACGGGAGGCAGCAGUGAGGAAUAUUGGUCAAUGGGCGAGAGCCUGAACCAGCCAAGUAGCGUGCAGGACGACGGCCCUAUGGGUUGUAAACUGCUUUUAUAAGGGAAUAAAGUGAGUCUCGUGAGACUUUUUGCAUGUACCUUAUGAAUAAGGACCGGCUAAUUCCGUG
Molecule: ribosomal RNA, 491 nt
Filed under: uncultured bacterium
Lineage: Bacteria
Description: bacterial SSU rRNA
Rfam family: Bacterial small subunit ribosomal RNA
Source: RNAcentral